RNAcentral lists this microRNA (21 nucleotides) under Fasciola hepatica (liver fluke). Its description in RNAcentral is "fhe-miR-96". Its record names the gene fhe-miR-96. The record is from miRBase by way of RNAcentral. Lineage: Eukaryota; Metazoa; Platyhelminthes; Trematoda; Plagiorchiida; Fasciolidae.
CUUGGCACUUUGGAAUUGUCA